UUUUAUCGGUUCCCGUUCGUUCGGUUCGGGAUCAAAAGGGAAGUCGGUCGGAAACCGCACAGCACCCACUGCUGUCAAUACCUCGUUUCUAUGGCAUUGCCUUCGGGCGAGAAGGCAUAGAGGCGUAUGGGGUAGAGAGUCAGAAGACCUGCCGAUAGGAUA
RNAcentral lists this non-coding RNA (162 nucleotides) under pig gut metagenome. The record is from RNAcentral.